RNAcentral lists this ribosomal RNA (440 nucleotides) under uncultured bacterium. RNAcentral describes it as "partial 16S ribosomal RNA". It matches the Rfam family "Bacterial small subunit ribosomal RNA", at positions 338 to 795 of the family's 1533-position model. The record is from RNAcentral.
CCUACGGGGGGCAGCAGUGGGGAAUAUUGCACAAUGGGGGAAACCAUGAUGCAGCGACGCCGCGGGAGUGAAGAAGUAUUUCGGUAUGUAAAGCUCUAUCAGCAGGGAAGAAAAUGACGGUACCUGAUUAAGAAGCCCCGGCUAACUACGUGCCAGCAGCCGCGGUAAUACGUAGGGGGCAAGCGUUAUCCGGAUUUACUGGGUGUAAGGGGAGCGUAGACGGCAGCACAAGUCUGGAGUGAAAUGCCGGGGCUUAACCCCGGAACUGCUUUGGAAACUGUGCAGCUAGAGUGCAGGAGAGGUAAGUGGAAUUCCUAGUGUAGCGGUGAAAUGCGUAGAUAUUAGGAGGAACACCAGUGGCGAAGGCGGCUUACUGGACUGUAACUGACGUUGAGGCUCGAAAGCGUGGGGAGCAAACAGGAUUAGAUACCCUAGUAGUC